This 72-nucleotide transfer RNA is filed under the name Perca schrenkii (Balkhash perch). RNAcentral's name for it is "tRNA-Asp". It matches the Rfam family "tRNA". Rfam says of the family: Transfer RNA (tRNA) molecules are approximately 80 nucleotides in length. The record is from RNAcentral. Lineage: Eukaryota; Metazoa; Chordata; Actinopteri; Perciformes; Percidae.
AAGAUACUAGUAAAAUAGUUAUUACACUGCCUUGUCGAGGCAGAGUCGUGGGUUAAAUCCCCGCGUAUCUUG